UGUCUGGGGCUUUAUGAAGUCAUCAGUCAAAAGUAUAAAAAGAAGAGUGAUGCCAGAAGUUUGGAUGAGAUCUCUGAAUAUCCUAAGCCAAGUGCAGGCCAUAGGAGAAAGCAGUGAAAAAGAAACACUGUGACAAGCAAGGAAGAAACUUCAGACCAAGUUGACAGGCAGCCCUUCAGUUUACUGACUGCCGCUUCUUACCUGCCAACGCCAAGCACAAAGCUGCCUGCAGAGCCAGCCUCUAUCUGUGGUCCUUGUGCCAAUUAUCACUGCCCCACUCAUGCCGCAGGAUAUAAAGCAGAGUGACAGGGUCACAGGACUGCCAGAGGAAUACAGGUCUUCCACCCCAAGUCCUCUUAUCCACUGAACAAUUGUGGACAUGUCAUCCCUGAUGUCACUUCCAGAGGUGGUCUCACAAAUCCAUUUCAAAAAGUCAUCCCAGAAGACAUUUUAUAUGAUUUUUUUUAAGAGGCUACUAAAGUUGAGAGGUGAAGCCAGCUGGACUUCUGGGCCAGGCUGCAGUGCAGUGGUGCCAUCUGGGCUCACUGCAACCUCUGCCUCCCAGGUUCAAGUGAUCCUCAUGCCUCAGCCUCCUGAGUAACUGGGAUUACAGCUUCUAGAGGCUACCCACAUUCCUGGGCUAAUGGCCCCUUCCUACAUCUUCAAAGCCAGCAGUGGUGGGCUGAGUCUUUCUCCUGGUAUCAUCUCUUCAUUCUCUAUCUCCCUCUCCCAAUUUUAAGGACCUCUGUGAUUAUAUUGGGCACCUGGAUAUUGCAGGAUACGCUCUCUAUUUUAAGGCUAUGCUCCGUAAAGAGAGUGCCUCCUCUAGAAUCACAAGACCUAAGCAUGAAUCUUCCUUUGAAGGAUAAAAUGGAAGGAAAAAAACUGGAUGAGGAAAAGAAGAGUGGGGAAUAGAAAGAGAGAGAGAGAGAAAGAUGGAUAAAUUUUUAAAGUUACUAUAAUAAAAAUCUUCUACAACGAAA
Molecule: long non-coding RNA, 983 nt
Filed under: Homo sapiens (human)
Lineage: Eukaryota; Metazoa; Chordata; Mammalia; Primates; Hominidae
Description: HSALNT0372907
Source: RNAcentral